Molecule: ribosomal RNA, 828 nt
Filed under: Burkholderia sp.
Lineage: Bacteria; Pseudomonadati; Pseudomonadota; Betaproteobacteria; Burkholderiales; Burkholderiaceae
Description: bacterial SSU rRNA
Rfam family: Bacterial small subunit ribosomal RNA
Source: RNAcentral
CGAACGGCAGCACGGGUGCUUGCACCUGGUGGCGAGUGGCGAACGGGUGAGUAAUACAUCGGAACAUGUCCUGUAGUGGGGGAUAGCCCGGCGAAAGCCGGAUUAAUACCGCAUACGAUCUAUGGAUGAAAGCGGGGGACCUUCGGGCCUCGCGCUAUAGGGUUGGCCGAUGGCUGAUUAGCUAGUUGGUGGGGUAAAGGCCUACCAAGGCGACGAUCAGUAGCUGGUCUGAGAGGACGACCAGCCACACUGGGACUGAGACACGGCCCAGACUCCUACGGGAGGCAGCAGUGGGGAAUUUUGGACAAUGGGCGAAAGCCUGAUCCAGCAAUGCCGCGUGUGUGAAGAAGGCCUUCGGGUUGUAAAGCACUUUUGUCCGGAAAGAAAUCCUUGGUUCUAAUAUAACCGGGGGAUGACGGUACCGGAAGAAUAAGCACCGGCUAACUACGUGCCAGCAGCCGCGGUGAUACGUAGGGUGCGAGCGUUAAUCGGAAUUACUGGGCGUAAAGCGUGCGCAGGCGGUUUGUUAAGACCGAUGUGAAAUCCCCGGGCUCAACCUGGGAACUGCAUUGGUGACUGGCAAGCUAGAGUAUGGCAGAGGGGGGUAGAAUUCCACGUGUAGCAGUGAAAUGCGUAGAGAUGUGGAGGAAUACCGAUGGCGAAGGCAGCCCCCUGGGCCAAUACUGACGCUCAUGCACGAAAGCGUGGGGAGCAAACAGGGAUUAGAUACCCUGGUAGUCCACGCCCUAAACGAUGUCAACUAGUUGUUGGGGAUUCAUUUCCUUAGUAACGUAGCUAACGCGUGAAGUUGACCGCCUGGGGGAGUAC